AGAAUCAACGCUGGCGGCGCGCUUAACACAUGCAAGUCGAACGAGAAAGCGGGAGCAAUCUCGCAAGUAAAGUGGCGUACGGGUGAGUAACACGUGGGUUAUCUACCUCUUAGUGGGGAAUAACGCUGGGAAACCGGCGCUAAUACCGCAUAAGCCCGAAGGGGGAAAGUCGCAAGACGCUGAGAGAGGAGCCCGCGGCCGAUUAGCCAGUUGGUAGGGUAAUGGCCUACCAAAGCUUAGAUCGGUAGCCGGCCUGAGAGGGCACACGGCCACACUGGCACUGAAACACGGGCCAGACUCCUACGGGAGGCAGCAGUGGGGAAUCUUGCACAAUGGGGGAAACCCUGAUGCAGCGACGCCGCGUGAACGAUGAAGCCCUUCGGGGUGUAAAGUUCUUUCGGCAGGGAAGAUGAUGACGGUACCUGCAGAAGCAGCUGCGGCUAACUACGUGCCAGCAGCCGCGGUAAUACGUAGGCAGCGAGCGUUGUUCGGAGUUACUGGGCGUAAAGGGUGUGUAGGCGGCUUUCUAAGUUUGGUGUGAAAUCUCCCGGCUCAACCGGGAGGGUGCGCCGAAAACUGGGAGGCUAGAGUGUGGGAUGGGAGAGUAGAAUUCCUGGUGUAGCGGUGAAAUGCGUAGAUAUCAGGAGGAAUACCGGUGGUGUAGACGGCUCUCUGGACCGCAACUGACGCUGAGACACGAAAGCGUGGGUAGCAAACAGGAUUAGAUACCCUGGUAGUCCACGCCCUAAACGAUGCAUAUUUGGUGUAGGUCAUUCAUUUGAUCUGUGCCGGAGCUAACGCGUUAAAUAUGCCGCCUGGGGAGUACAGUCGCAAGGCUG
This 839-nucleotide ribosomal RNA is filed under the name uncultured bacterium. RNAcentral's name for it is "bacterial SSU rRNA". It matches the Rfam family "Bacterial small subunit ribosomal RNA", at positions 26 to 896 of the family's 1533-position model. The record is from RNAcentral.